Molecule: ribosomal RNA, 259 nt
Filed under: uncultured fungus
Lineage: Eukaryota; Fungi
Description: partial small subunit ribosomal RNA
Rfam family: Eukaryotic small subunit ribosomal RNA (bases 127-259)
Source: RNAcentral
GGACCCUUUUUUUAAUGCGUUGUGGUCUGAAACCCAAGCCGGGAAACCGGUGUUGGGGCGGUACUGCAGGCGGGGUUCAAAUCGUGUUUCUCGAAGACAGCCUGUGCCAUUAACUUGGUUGCGGGAUUUACCUUGUACUCGAGACAUUUACUUUGAAAAAAUUAGAGUGUUCAAAGCAGGCAGUUUCGCUUGAAUACAUUAGCAUGGAAUAAUGGAAUAGGACUUUGGUCUUAUUUUGUUGGUUUCUAGGACCGAAGUA